GACGAACGCUGGCGGCGUGCUUAACACAUGCAAGUCGAACGUGAUUUUUGUGGAAAGCCCUUCGGGGACGGAAAUGAAAUGAAAGUGGCGAACGGGUGAGUAACACGUGAGCAACCUACCUUACACAGGGGGAUAGCCGUUGGAAACGACGAUUAAUACCGCAUGAGACCACAAAGCCACAUGGCUUAGGGGUAAAAGAUUUAUCGGUGUAAGAUGGGCUCGCGUCUGAUUAGCUAGUUGGAAGGGUAAAGGCCUACCAAGGCAACGAUCAGUAGCCGGUCUGAGAGGAUGAACGGCCACAUUGGAACUGAGACACGGUCCAAACUCCUACGGGAGGCAGCAGUGGGGAAUAUUGCACAAUGGGGGGAACCCUGAUGCAGCGACGCCGCGUGAGCGAAGAAGGUUUUCGAAUCGUAAAGCUCUGUCCUAUGAGAAGAUAAUGACGGUAUCAUAGGAGGAAGCCCCGGCUAAAUACGUGCCAGCAGCCGCGGUAAUACGUAUGGGGCGAGCGUUGUCCGGAAUUAUUGGGCGUAAAGGGUACGUAGGCGGCCUUUUAAGUCAGGUGUGAAAGCGUGAGGCUUAACCUCAUUAAGCACUUGAAACUGGAAGGCUUGAGUGAAGGAGAGGAAAGUGGAAUUCCUAGUGUAGCGGUGAAAUGCGUAGAUAUUAGGAGGAAUACCGGUGGCGAAGGCGACUUUCUGGACUUUUACUGACGCUCAGGUACGAAAGCGUGNGGAGCAAACAGG
RNAcentral lists this ribosomal RNA (746 nucleotides) under uncultured Parvimonas sp. RNAcentral's name for it is "bacterial SSU rRNA". It matches the Rfam family "Bacterial small subunit ribosomal RNA", at positions 28 to 776 of the family's 1533-position model. The record is from RNAcentral. Lineage: Bacteria; Bacillati; Bacillota; Tissierellia; Tissierellales; Peptoniphilaceae.